UCGAGCGAGUCUGCCUUGAAGAUCGGAGUGCUUGCACUCUGUGAAACAAGAUACAGGCUAGCGGCGGACGGGUGAGUAACACGUGGGUAACCUGCCCAAGAGAUCGGGAUAACACCUGGAAACAGAUGCUAAUACCGGAUAACAACAGAUGAUGCCUAUCAACUGUUUAAAAGAUGGUUCUGCUAUCACUCUUGGAUGGACCUGCGGUGCAUUAGCUAGUUGGUAGGGUAACGGCCUACCAAGGCGAUGAUGCAUAGCCGAGUUGAGAGACUGAUCGGCCACAUUGGGACUGAGACACGGCCCAAACUCCUACGGGAGGCAGCAGUAGGGAAUCUUCCACAAUGGACGCAAGUCUGAUGGAGCAACGCCGCGUGAGUGAAGAAGGGUUUCGGCUCGUAAAGCUCUGUUGUUGGUGAAGAAGGACAGGGGUAGUAACUGACCUUUGUUUGACGGUAAUCAAUUAGAAAGUCACGGCUAACUACGUGCCAGCAGCCGCGGUAAUACGUAAGUGGCAAGCGUUGUCCGGAUUUAUUGGGCGUAAAGCGAGUGCAGGCGGCUCGAUAAGUCUGAUGUGAAAGCCUUCGGCUCAACCGGAGAAUUGCAUCAGAAACUGUCGAGCUUGAGUACAGAAGAGGAGAGUGGAACUCCAUGUGUAGCGGU
RNAcentral lists this ribosomal RNA (660 nucleotides) under uncultured bacterium. RNAcentral describes it as "bacterial SSU rRNA". It matches the Rfam family "Bacterial small subunit ribosomal RNA", at positions 62 to 682 of the family's 1533-position model. The record is from RNAcentral.